Molecule: ribosomal RNA, 253 nt
Filed under: uncultured bacterium
Lineage: Bacteria
Description: partial 16S ribosomal RNA
Rfam family: Bacterial small subunit ribosomal RNA
Source: RNAcentral
UACGGAGGGUGCGAGCGUUAAUCGGAAUUACUGGGCGUGAAGCGCACGCAGGCGGUUUGUUAAGCUAGAUGUGAAAGCCCCGGGCUCAACCUGGGAUGGUCAUUUAGAACUGGCAGACUAGAGUCUUGGAGAGGGGAGUGGAAUUCCAGGUGUAGCGGUGAAAUGCGUAGAUAUCUGGAGGAACAUCAGUGGCGAAGGCGACUCCCUGGCCAAAGACUGACGCUCAUGUGCGAAAGUGUGGGUAGCGAACAGC